GAUCAGUGGCGAACGGGUGAGUAACACGUGAGCAACCUGCCCCUGACUCUGGGAUAAGCGCUGGAAACGGCGUCUAAUACUGGAUAUGUGACGUGACCGCAUGGUCUGCGUUUGGAAAGAUUUUUUGGUUGGGGAUGGGCUCGCGGCCUAUCAGCUUGUUGGUGAGGUAAUGGCUCACCAAGGCGUCGACGGGUAGCCGGCCUGAGAGGGUGACCGGCCACACUGGGACUGAGACACGGCCCAGACUCCUACGGGAGGCAGCAGUGGGGAAUAUUGCACAAUGGGCGCAAGCCUGAUGCAGCAACGCCGCGUGAGGGAUGACGGCCUUCGGGUUGUAAACCUCUUUUAGCAGGGAAGAAGCGAAAGUGACGGUACCUGCAGAAAAAGCGCCGGCUAACUACGUGCCAGCAGCCGCGGUAAUACGUAGGGCGCAAGCGUUAUCCGGAAUUAUUGGGCGUAAAGAGCUCGUAGGCGGUUUGUCGCGUCUGCUGUGAAAUCCCGAGGCUCA
This 508-nucleotide ribosomal RNA is filed under the name Microbacterium paraoxydans. RNAcentral describes it as "bacterial SSU rRNA". It matches the Rfam family "Bacterial small subunit ribosomal RNA", at positions 90 to 611 of the family's 1533-position model. The record is from RNAcentral. Lineage: Bacteria; Bacillati; Actinomycetota; Actinomycetes; Micrococcales; Microbacteriaceae.